UAUUAGGGUGGCAGAGCCAGGUAAUUGCGUAAGACUUAAAACCUUGUUCCCAGAGGUUCAAAUCCUCUCCCUAAUAG
Molecule: transfer RNA, 77 nt
Filed under: Plasmodium berghei
Lineage: Eukaryota; Apicomplexa; Aconoidasida; Haemosporida; Plasmodiidae
Description: Leu transfer RNA (taa)
Rfam family: tRNA
About the family: Transfer RNA (tRNA) molecules are approximately 80 nucleotides in length.
Source: RNAcentral